GAGUUUGAUCAUGGCUCAGAUUGAACGCUGGCGGCAUGCCUUACACAUGCAAGUCGAACGGUAACAGGUCUUCGGAUGCUGACGAGUGGCGAACGGGUGAGUAAUACAUCGGAACGUGGCCCGAUCGUGGGGGGAUAACGAAGCGAAAGCUUUGCUAAUACCGCAUAGGAUCUACGGAUGAAAGCAGGGGACCGCAAGGCCUUGCGCGAACGGAGCGGCCGAUGGCAGAUUAGGUAGUUAGGUGGGAUAAAAAGCUUACCAAGCCGACGAUCUGUAGCUGGUCUGAGAGGACGACCAGCCACACUGGGACUGAGACACGGCCC
Molecule: ribosomal RNA, 323 nt
Filed under: uncultured microorganism
Description: bacterial SSU rRNA
Rfam family: Bacterial small subunit ribosomal RNA
Source: RNAcentral